GCCUGCGUAGCUCAGAGGUAGAGCACUUCCUUGGUAAGGAAGAGGUCAUGGGUUCAAUUCCCAUCGCCGGCU
This 72-nucleotide transfer RNA is filed under the name Prevotellaceae bacterium. RNAcentral's name for it is "tRNA-Thr". It matches the Rfam family "tRNA". From Rfam's summary of the family: Transfer RNA (tRNA) molecules are approximately 80 nucleotides in length. Their secondary structure includes four short double-helical elements and three loops (D, anti-codon, and T loops). Further hydrogen bonds mediate the characteristic L-shaped molecular structure. tRNAs have two regions of fundamental functional importance: the anti-codon, which is responsible for specific mRNA codon recognition, and the 3' end, to which the tRNAs corresponding amino acid is attached (by aminoacyl-tRNA synthetases). tRNAs cope with the degeneracy of the genetic code in two manners: having more than one tRNA (with a specific anti-codon) for a particular amino acid; and 'wobble' base-pairing, i.e. permitting non-standard base-pairing at the 3rd anti-codon position. Lineage: Bacteria; Pseudomonadati; Bacteroidota; Bacteroidia; Bacteroidales; Prevotellaceae. The record is from RNAcentral.